AUGGUAAUGUUACCAUCUAUAAAGCUUGACUUGUCUGUUGUUGCUAAGGGUUAUCGGCAAGUUCAAGGGGUUGACUGCGAUGAGACUUUCUCUCCCGUAGCAAAGCUGAAGUCCGUCCGAAUCAUGUUAGCAAUUGCCACAUACUAUGAUUAUGAGAUAUGGCAAAUGGACGUCAAAACGGCAUUCCUUAACGGCUAUCUUAAGGAAGAAUUGUAUAUGAUGCAGCCGGAAGGUUUUGUCGAUCCUAAGAAUGCUAACAAGGUAUGCAAGCUCCAACGAUCCAUUUAUGGGCUGGUGCAAGCAUCUCGGAGUUGGAACAUUCGCUUUGAUGAGAUGAUCAAAGCGUUUGGGUUUAUGCAGACUUAUGUAGAAGCCUGCGUUUACAAGAAAGUGAGUGGGAGCUCUAUAGCAUUUCUCAUAUUAUAUGUAGAUGACAUACUUUUGAUGGGAAAUGAUAUAGAACUUUUGGACAGCAUAAAGGCCUACUUGAAUAAGUGUUUUUCAAUGAAGGACCUUGGAGAAGCUGCUUAUAUAUUAGGCAUCAAGAUCUAUAGAGAUAGAUCGAGACGCCUAGGUCUUUCACAAAGCACAUACCUUGAUAAGAUAUUGAAGAAGUUCAAUAUGGAUCAGUCCAAGAAGGGUUUCUUUCCUGUGUUGCAAGGUGUGAAAUUGAGCUCGGCUCAAUCCCCGACCACGGUAGAAGAUAGAGAAAAGAUGAGUGUCAUUCCCUAUGCCUCGGCCAUAGGGUCUAUUAUGUAUGCCAUGUUGUGUACCAAACCUGAUGUAAACCUUGCCGUAAGUUUGGUAGCUAGGCACCAAAGUAAUCCCGGCAUGGAACACUGGACAGCGGUCAAGAAUAUCCUGAAGUAG
RNAcentral lists this ribosomal RNA (870 nucleotides) under Triticum aestivum (bread wheat). RNAcentral's name for it is "partial small subunit ribosomal RNA". Lineage: Eukaryota; Viridiplantae; Streptophyta; Magnoliopsida; Poales; Poaceae. The record is from RNAcentral.